Molecule: ribosomal RNA, 492 nt
Filed under: uncultured bacterium
Lineage: Bacteria
Description: partial 16S ribosomal RNA
Rfam family: Bacterial small subunit ribosomal RNA
Source: RNAcentral
AGUGAACGCUGGCGGUAGGCCUAACACAUGCAAGUCGAACGGCAGCACAGUAAGAGCUUGCUCUUACGGGUGGCGAGUGGCGGACGGGUGAGGAAUACAUCGGAAUCUACUUUUUCGUGGGGGAUAACGUAGGGAAACUUACGCUAAUACCGCAUACGACCUACGGGUGAAAGCAGGGGAUCUUCGGACCUUGCGCGAUUGAAUGAGCCGAUGUCGGAUUAGCUAGUUGGCGGGGUAAAGGCCCACCAAGGCGACGAUCCGUAGCUGGUCUGAGAGGAUGAUCAGACCCACUAGAGCUGAGACACGGACCAGACUCCUAAGGGAGGCAGCAGUGGGGAAUAUGCGACGAUGGGCGCAAGCCUGAUCCAGCCACACCGCGCGGGUGAAGAAGGACUUCGGGUUGUAAAGCCCUUUUGUUGGGAAAGAAAAGCAGCAGGUUAAUACCCCGCUGUUCUGACGGUACCCAAAGAAUAAGCACCGGCUAACUACGUG